GCGGCCGCCACGCGGCUCCCCGGCGGCCAACGGGGGGGCGGGGCGGGUGCCGCGUGGCGGCGGCGGGGGCGCGCGGGCGGCUUCGACAGUGGCUGGAGCCGCCCCCGGCGCCGGUGAAGGCCUCGCCGCCCCGCGCGAGGACUCCAUCUUGAUCAGUCUUGAGAACGGAUACACAGGACCAUAAAGGUAAGGUUACAAGAGAAUGGCAACAACAGCCCCGGAGGGUAUGGUCUGCUGAUCCCAGAACUGCGUCUGGAGGUAAGGCUCUGUCUGUGGGUGCAGUGAAGGAGACUGCAAGCCUUCAUCUGAAGACUCUGACAACCACAACUCCACAUGCGGACCAUGCGUUUGCAUAUGUUAAUGAGUUCAAGGAAAUCUCAUGUAUAUGUAAAUGAGCUCUCGGAAAUCUUGUGAAUAUGUAUAACUUCAUGGUAUAUAGCCUCUGAAAGCUUGCCAGAUUGUUGGAGCAUUUAUGGUGGAGCUAUCCCCAGCGUGCCCCAGCGCUGCAAUAAAGGGUACCUUGCUUAAUAACA
Molecule: long non-coding RNA, 533 nt
Organism: Falco peregrinus (peregrine falcon)
Lineage: Eukaryota; Metazoa; Chordata; Aves; Falconiformes; Falconidae
Exons: 2
Source: RefSeq, a predicted model, not a curated record